GGAUGAACGCUGGCGGCGUGCCUAAUACAUGCAAGUCGAGCGAACAGAUGAGGAGCUUGCUCCUCUGACGUUAGCGGCGGCCGGGUGAGUAACACGUGGAUAACCUACCUAUAAGACUGGGAUAACUUCGGGAAACCGGAGCUAAUACCGGAUAAUAUAUUGAACCGCAUGGUUCAAUAGUGAAAGACGGUUUUGCUGUCACUUAUAGAUGGAUCCGCGCCGCAUUAGCUAGUUGGUAAGGUAACGGCUUACCAAGGCAACGAUGCGUAGCCGACCUGAGAGGGUGAUCGGCCACACUGGAACUGAGACACGGUCCAGACUCCUACGGGAGGCAGCAGUAGGGAAUCUUCCGCAAAGGGCGAAAGCCUGACGGAGCAACGCCGCGUGAGUGAUGAAGGUCUUCGGAUCGUAAAACUCUGUUAUUAGGGAAGAACAAAUGUGUAAGUAACUAUGCACGUCUUGACGGUACCUAAUCAGAAAGCCACGGCUAACUACGUG
RNAcentral lists this ribosomal RNA (498 nucleotides) under uncultured bacterium. RNAcentral's name for it is "partial 16S ribosomal RNA". It matches the Rfam family "Bacterial small subunit ribosomal RNA", at positions 27 to 507 of the family's 1533-position model. The record is from RNAcentral.